CCUUAUCUUUUGCAGGCUCUUCGUUACUUCCACAUGGCAGAGGAAGCUGACCCAAAUUUUUACAGCAAAAAUUUGCUCUUUCUGGGGAAGACAUACUUGAAGUUAAACAAUAAAAAGAUGGCUCUUCUGUGGUUAAGCAAAGCGAAGGAGUAUCCUGCACAUACAGAAGAGGACAAACAGGUACAGAAAGAAGCUUUGGAGUUGCUUAAUUCUAUAUAGCAAGAAAGAAGAUAAUGGGAAUUCAGUGCCUCAGGUUUGAGCAGCAUAGGAAAAAGACCCCAAAUACUACUUUUAUUGAAACUGUUAAUAAAAGUGAAACCUAAACCAGCUAUCUCCGUGUUGUUUCAAUCAAAGUGUCAACUGGAAGAUCUGUU
This is a long non-coding RNA of Pterocles gutturalis (yellow-throated sandgrouse), 374 nucleotides long. RefSeq lists it as uncharacterized. The transcript is spliced from 3 exons. NCBI's taxonomy places the organism in Eukaryota, Metazoa, Chordata, Aves, Pterocliformes, Pteroclidae. The record is from RefSeq and is a predicted model, not a curated record.